UACGUAGGGGGCGAGCGUUGUCCGGAGUUACUGGGCGUAAAGGGCGCGCAGGCGGUCUGGCAAGUUUGGGGUGACAGUGCUCGGCUUAACUGAGCAAGGCCUUCGAAAACUGCUAGACUUGAGCACUCAAGAGGGACAUAGAAUUCCGGGUGGAGUGGUGAAAUGCGUAGAUAUCCGGAGGAAUACCAAAGGCGAAGGCAGUGUCCUGGGGAGUGUCUGACGCUCAGGCGCGAAAGCUAGGGGAGCGAACAGG
This 253-nucleotide ribosomal RNA is filed under the name uncultured bacterium. RNAcentral's name for it is "partial 16S ribosomal RNA". It matches the Rfam family "Bacterial small subunit ribosomal RNA", at positions 524 to 776 of the family's 1533-position model. The record is from RNAcentral.